GAUGAACGCUGGCGGCGUGCCUAAUACAUGCAAGUCGAGCGAACGGACGAGAAGCUUGCUUCUCUGAUGUUAGCGGCGGAAGGGUGAGUAACACGUGGAUAACCUACCUAUAAGACUGGGAUAACUUCGGGAAACCGUAGCUAAUACCGGAUAAUAUUUUGAACCGCAUGGUUCAAAAGUGAAAGACGGUCUUGCUGUCACUUAUAGAUGGAUCCGCGCUGCAUUAGCUAGUUGGUAAGGUAACGGCUUACCAAGGCAACGAUGCAUAGCCGACCUGAGAGGGUGAUCGGCCACACUGGAACUGAGACACGGUCCAGACUCCUACGGGAGGCAGCAGUAGGGAAUCUUCCGCAAUGGGCGAGAGCCUGACGGAGCAACGCCGCGUGAGUGAUGAAGGUCUUCGGAUCGUAAAACUCUGUUAUUAGGGAAGAACAUAUGUGUAAGUAACUGUGCACAUCUUGACGGUACCUAAUCAGAAAGCCACGGCUAACUACGUG
RNAcentral lists this ribosomal RNA (497 nucleotides) under uncultured bacterium. RNAcentral describes it as "partial 16S ribosomal RNA". It matches the Rfam family "Bacterial small subunit ribosomal RNA", at positions 28 to 507 of the family's 1533-position model. The record is from RNAcentral.